GCUACCUUUUGCAGCUCUGGAACUACCCCUGUGCCGAAAGUAGCAGCUAAACAGCCAUUUGAAGUGAACUUGGUGGCAGGAAAGAAAUAUUCCUGGUGUUCAUGUGGAUUAAGCAAAAAACAGCCUUUCUGUGAUGGAUCAGGCAGGAAAACUGAUUUACAAUUUGCUCCUCUUCGGUUUUUUGUAGAAGAGUCCAAAACAGUCUUGCUGUGUGGGUGCAAGCAGACCAAAACACCACCCUAUUGUGACGGCACUCACAAGGAAGAAUUUGCACAGCAUGCUAUGUUGGAAAGAAACUGACAAAGGAUGAAAGCUUCUAUAGAGAACUGUGCAGUACAGAAGGAGAAUUUGCAGAGUUAUUUUUUCCGCAUAAGAUGUUUGCUUUGUAUACUAGGUUAAAUUUUAUAAAGGGGUUGUGUUCUUUUUGUGUGCAUGUAGUCACGGGGUUUGGCUUUUUGGUAUUCAGUUGCAACUGAUCACAGGUUCGCAUAGUAGUUGUAGACACUGCAAUUUGUGGGUGUUUUGAAGAGUUAGAGGUAUGACCAUUUGUUGUAUGUGGAGGAACUUCAUAAUCUGGUUCAUUCAUCAUCAGUUUUUCAAGUACCCUCCAUAUGGUACAGGAUUCAGAAUAGUAACAUGUUUCCACUUAUUACAGAAUAGUUUUUAACCAGCCUUUCUUUAUAAAGUAUGUAAGAUUCAUUUGGAGGGUACUGGGCAAACAGAACUGAAAUUUGCUUUUCACUCUUCUUUCCCAGACCUUGUUGCCUUGCAGGAUGGUCUUGCUGAAUGCCCAUUAAAUAUUGAUUCCUUCCAAUGCACAAUGUCUCGAGGUGGAGAAAAUUGCCAAAUGAAUUUUAGCAAAAGAUGGAACUCUAUUACAGAAAUACAUGUAGGCACAUACAUGUGAAAAUGGCAGACUUGUAUUGUACAUGUCUAAUACAAGUAUGUAUUUUUAUAGUAUAUCUAUUUCUGUGUAGUAGUUUAUUGCAAGUAAGUUAUGUUACAUAGUUUUGUGAUGGUAACCUAAUGGUGGUUGAAACAAAUGACAGAAUACCUUUGUUCCAUUUGGUAUAGAGUAGACUUUUCUAUGUUCUAUGUGAUACUGACAGAUGUUGGUAACUGAUUCAGUUCAUUACAUCACUGUAUCAAGUACAUUAACAUAACCCACUCCUGUUGGAAAAUAUAUAUAUAUUGCAUUCAUGUGAGAAACUUCAUCUUCAUAUCCUCUUAUGGCAGCUCUGGAGAAAAGGCAAAGGAGCACCCCAUGUACAGCACUUCCACCACUAGUCAGCAGCUGCAGCCAUCUGAAACCAGUUAUGCUAUACUCUGCACUAGAAGUUCCACAGACAAAAUAGUAGAUCACCUUAGAAACGGGAGUCAUACCAUACACAAGUGAAGUACCAAAUGCGGUAUGAAACAUAACUACAUCCAGUAACAGUAAAAACUCGAGGCAGAUCACUACACACAUUGUAUUUCACUAUUGGUCUCUGUACACGGUUCUUGAUGUUGCAUAUUACUCUUAACAGGAUCCCAUUCAUGGUGUCUGAAUAACUGAACAAGAGGAAGAUUCUGUUAUUACAGCCUUAGGAUGUGUGUGGUUGGGUGGGGAGAACGACAUGUUAGUCUUGUAGAAAAGCCCUGAAUGUUUCUACCCAUUUUUUCUGAAAGAAGUAACUGGUCAGUUGAUGUGAAAGUAACAUACAUUUUUGUACUGGCUUUCGGAUAAUAAAAACUUUUCAUCUUUU
Long non-coding RNA from Protopterus annectens (West African lungfish), 1745 nucleotides. RefSeq lists it as uncharacterized. The record is from RefSeq and is a predicted model, not a curated record. NCBI's taxonomy places the organism in Eukaryota, Metazoa, Chordata, Ceratodontiformes, Protopteridae. The transcript has 2 exons.